AUAUACAUGAAAAGAGGUUACGUUUACAUACAAUAUAAAAAAACUGUAUAUUCCACAUAUUGACUGUGAUGUUGAUGCAAUACUAAUGACUAUCUUGCAGAAAACCCUGCUUGAAAAUAGAGAAUGACACCUGCGAGCCCUUGCGCCCCAAGAAUCACCUUCCAGAUGAAGGGCUGUCAUAUUGUGGAGGGCGGGCUUUCAACCCUGAAGAAGCCACUUGUUGUAAAGAUGGAUACACCAACACAAAUGUUACAGAGGGUCUGAGUGAAAAGGUGUCAGCUUGCUGUGGACUAAUGGCCUAUGACCAACUCAAUGAAAUCUGCUGCAACUCAAAAAUCAUAGCCAAACCCGCACCAAAUGCCCAAUGUUGUGAUAGUGAUGCUUAUGAUGUGGACAAGCAGAUGUGUUGUGGUACUUUGGAGAACAAGACGAUCCUGACAAGAAAGUCCAGGGACCACCUGUGCUGUGGACAUGACCAGUUUGACCCUAACACUGAGUGCUGCUGUAA
Molecule: long non-coding RNA, 508 nt
Organism: Etheostoma cragini (Arkansas darter)
Lineage: Eukaryota; Metazoa; Chordata; Actinopteri; Perciformes; Percidae
Exons: 3
Source: RefSeq, a predicted model, not a curated record